RNAcentral lists this unclassified non-coding RNA (243 nucleotides) under Hevea brasiliensis (rubber tree). Lineage: Eukaryota; Viridiplantae; Streptophyta; Magnoliopsida; Malpighiales; Euphorbiaceae. The record is from RNAcentral.
GAGGAAGAAGCUCUUCCAAAAGAGAAAAAUAUCAGUAGAAGUGUAGUACCCGGAAACCAAAGAAAGGGCAAAAACAAAAGGGUUGGUUACUUGUGGGCAAAUUUAUUAUGGGUCUUUUGGCUGAGGGAGAGAGAGGUGGUGGAUCACAUGAUUCUUGCUCAUUCACUUAUCCUGUAUCCAAAUUUCUCCCUUUGCUUUUGGGGUUUUCCCAAUAUUUUGAGCUGGGAAUUUUGGUGGGUUCUC